Molecule: non-coding RNA, 102 nt
Organism: Whalleya microplaca
Lineage: Eukaryota; Fungi; Ascomycota; Sordariomycetes; Xylariales; Xylariaceae
Source: the annotation of a GenBank genome assembly
GGCGCAGUGGUCUAGUGGCAUGAUUCCUGUUUCGGGUCACCGAAAUACCCUUCCAUUAAACGUGGAUACAGGAGGUCCCGGGUUCAAAUCCCGGCUGGGCCC